AUGGCAAUAGUGCUGAACGGGUUCCAAUUGUAUGAGAAUUCUUCCUUAGGCUCCACCAGUGUUGCCACCUUUCUCAGCUAUGCAGAGUUCAAACCAUUUUCCUACUACAUCUCCAGAAUGACAGGAACAUUUGGUAACAGUGAGCACACCUGGGCUCGCUUCUGGAGUGGUUGCAGAACCAGAAGGGCUGGGAAGAUUUGUUCUGAAUUUUUGUGUCUCAGCUUGGAUCUGGAUUGUUCGUUACUCUGCCUCAAUGCUCAAGCCAACUAGCUUUGCUGAGAGGUAGAGAUAAACCUGGAAUUCAUUCCUAGUUAAAAAUGACUGCGCUGUUAAAACAUCCUCAUAGGGUGAUGCCGUUACUUGUAGACUUACAAUAAAUCAUGGCUACACUGAAAGUCCA
RNAcentral lists this long non-coding RNA (400 nucleotides) under Phasianus colchicus (ring-necked pheasant). Its description in RNAcentral is "lncRNA (ENSPCLG00000021260.1)". The record is from RNAcentral. Lineage: Eukaryota; Metazoa; Chordata; Aves; Galliformes; Phasianidae.